This 467-nucleotide ribosomal RNA is filed under the name uncultured bacterium. Its description in RNAcentral is "partial 16S ribosomal RNA". It matches the Rfam family "Bacterial small subunit ribosomal RNA", at positions 28 to 507 of the family's 1533-position model. The record is from RNAcentral.
GACGAACGCUGGCGGCGUGCUUAACACAUGCAAGUCGAACGGAAAGGCCCUGCUUUUGUGGGGUGCUCGAGUGGCGAACGGGUGAGUAACACGUGGGUAACCUGCCCUUGACUUUGGGAUAACUUCAGGAAACUGGGGCUAAUACCGGAUAGGAGCUCCUGCUGCAUGGUGGGGGUUGGAAAGUUUCGGCGGUUGGGGAUGGACUCGCGGCUUAUCAGCUUGUUGGUGGGUAGUGGCUUACCAAGGCUUUGACGGGUAGCCGGCCUGAGAGGGUGACCGGCCACAUUGGGACUGAGAGACGGCCCAGACUCCUACGGGAGGCAGCAGUGGGGAAUAUUGCACAAUGGGCGGAAGCCUGAUGCAGCAACGCCGCGUGCGGGAUGACGGCCUUCGGGUUGUAAACCGAUUUCGCCUGUGACGAAGCGUGAGUGACGGUAAUGGGUAAAGAAGCACCGGCUAACUACGUG